UACAUGGGCUGUUAUUUCAUGGAGUGUACCUAGUUAUAUUCCAUCAGACUAUCCCAUCACAUAUGAGAUAGGGUAUCAUGUCUUGUUGUCUGACAACUGUACGAUGGCAGAAGGUACUAAUUUCAAUUUUCAAACUUUGAAGCUUUUUAGUAGUGUCAGUUCAUUUACUAACAUUACCGGUCUUAAUAAAACCAGUUGCUAUAUUUUUGGUGUACGUGCAUAUACUGUUAAAGGGCAUGGGAACUGGAAACUUAUUGUUAAUAAAACAAUAGAAUUGCCUUCUCUUCAAGCAGUUACAGUUACAUAUAUUAUAACUUCAACAUCAGCUACUACUUCUUGUGACUGCGAUAUUGCUUUUGCAAUGAGUGGACUAGUAGGUGUAUUGUUUACUAUGUUGACUGUCAGCAUUGUUAUCAAUAUCUGUUAAAUUAUUUCACGUAUUAAAUCUAUUAAGGUAAAUAAUAUACAUAGAAGAACUGAUCAAGAUAUUGCAAUGCAAGUAUGUGAACCAUAUGAUCUUCACAAGACUGAACUAAGUGAAAUGGUGCCUGAUGCUGUUUAUGAGACUAUGGCACAAUGACUUGUU
Long non-coding RNA from Amphimedon queenslandica, 586 nucleotides. RefSeq lists it as uncharacterized. The record is from RefSeq and is a predicted model, not a curated record. The transcript has 4 exons. Lineage: Eukaryota; Metazoa; Porifera; Demospongiae; Haplosclerida; Niphatidae.